This 256-nucleotide ribosomal RNA is filed under the name uncultured bacterium. Its description in RNAcentral is "partial 16S ribosomal RNA". It matches the Rfam family "Bacterial small subunit ribosomal RNA", at positions 524 to 776 of the family's 1533-position model. The record is from RNAcentral.
UACGAAGGGGGGCUAGCGUUGUUCGGAUUUACUGGGCGUAAAGCGCACGUAGGCGGAUUGUUAAGUGAGGGGUGAAAUCCUGGAGCUCAACUCCAGAACUGCCCUUUCAUACUGGCAAUCUAGAGUCCGGAAGAGGUAAGUGGAACUCCUAGUGUAGAGGUGGAAUUCGUAGAUAUUAGGAAGAACACCAGUGGCGAAAGGCGGCUUACUGGUCCGGUACUGACGCUGAGGUGCGAAAGCGUGGGGAGCAAACAGG